This 1022-nucleotide long non-coding RNA is filed under the name Homo sapiens (human). RNAcentral's name for it is "HSALNT0186091". The record is from RNAcentral. Lineage: Eukaryota; Metazoa; Chordata; Mammalia; Primates; Hominidae.
AGGAAAUAUUUCAUUCAUAUAAUGUCUCCUUUGUAAUCAACACUGAGAAAUGUCACUUUGAUUAAACACAACUCUGAAUGACUAAGACCACAGUACAAUAAAUUCUCCAGAGCUAUCUUUCAGAACAACUGAUUGCUCUCCAGUCUUAAUCCUCCAGAGUCUUAUUUAAUCAAAAUGAUGUUGCUAAUUAAGGAUUAAAACCUCCGAAUAGAAUAAAAAAGAAGGAUUUUUCUUUCUCCUUUGGGCAGGUCAAGGAGGCAGAAUUUGCUGCAAGGAAGUAAAGAGUCCCUUCUACCUUUGCCAGUGCUACUUACCAGUUAAAAAAAGACAUCGUUUUUUGUGAUCCAUACUCCUGAAGGCCAAAAGCACCCAGUGGACAGACGAUGGCUCUUACGCCUCCAAUGCCAAGGCAAAUGGUCAGCAGUGCUACAUAAAACAGCCUGUGCUGCUCUGUUUUUGCUGGAUGGAGCCUUCUUUGCCACAAACAGAGUUGAGAAAGCUGGGGACAGAGGAGUGUGAGUGGAAGGAGAGGGGACCUAAAGUGACAAAAGAAGAGGCUUUCACAAUGUAAAGACUAUAUGCCCUUAAUAGCUAUUUGGCAACAGAUUCAUUUACCAUGAGAUUCCAAAGUUGGGAUUUCCAUCCUGUCUGAUGACUGACCUCAGAAUUUAGACUGAUAGAAAUUACCAUGUUAAACAAGAAGUCAACAAAUGCUACUGGUGUGGCCUGUUACCAAGAACUAAAGCUGUGAAGUUUCCAGGUUUGACUUAAACUCCAAUGGAUUCUCUGAAUGGUAAUUUACCACCUGCCUGAGAUUGUGUGAUAUGUUGAGUACCUGAUAUCUAUCCAUCUCUUUCUCAUCUGUCCCCCUACCAAUACUCAUUUCAGCUGCACUUCUCAUUAUUGGUGAACAGCAUGCUAUAUUCCCAAGUUGCUCAGAUCAGAAACUUGGAGCUAAUUUUUGACCCCCAUCACAUUUGUACCUUUAUUUAGUUGCCUUACAGCUUUUCACUUGUUCUCUC